GGCCUAAUACAUGCAAGUCGAACGGUAACAGGGUAGCAAUACCGAUGACGAGUGGCGCACGGGUGAGUAACGCGUAUGCAACCUACCUUUAACCGGGGGAUAGCUUCGAGAAAUCGGAAUUAAUACCCCAUAAUGAUGCGGAAAGGCAUCUUUCUGCAUCUAAGGCUCCGGCUGUUAAAGAUGGGCAUGCGUGACAUUAGCUAGUUGGUGAGGUAACUGCUCACCAAGGCGACGAUGUCUAGGGGGUCUGAGAGGAUGAUCCCCCACAAUGGUACUGAGACACGGACCAGACUCCUACGGGAGGCAGCAGUAAGGAAUAUUGGACAAUGGGCGCAAGCCUGUUCCAGCCAUGCCGCGUGAAGGAUGACGGCCCUAUGGGGGCUUUCUUC
This 389-nucleotide ribosomal RNA is filed under the name uncultured organism. Its description in RNAcentral is "bacterial SSU rRNA". It matches the Rfam family "Bacterial small subunit ribosomal RNA", at positions 45 to 433 of the family's 1533-position model. The record is from RNAcentral.